RNAcentral lists this ribosomal RNA (485 nucleotides) under uncultured bacterium. RNAcentral describes it as "bacterial SSU rRNA". It matches the Rfam family "Bacterial small subunit ribosomal RNA", at positions 35 to 507 of the family's 1533-position model. The record is from RNAcentral.
CGGACGAACGGCUGGCGGCGUGCCUAACACAUGCAAGUCGAGCGGAGAUAUGUAGAGGAAGUUUUCGGAUGGAGUUUAUAUAUUUUAGCGGCGGACGGGUGAGUAACGCGUGAGGAACCUGCCCUUUACAGGGGGAUAACGCACCGAAAGGUGCACUAAUACCGCAUGAGACCACAGCACCGCAUGGUGCAGGGGUCAAAGGAGUAAUCCGGUGAAGGAGGGACUCGCGUCCGAUUAGAUAGUUGGUGAGGUAACGGCUCACCAAGUCAACGAUCGGUAGCCGACCUGAGAGGGUGAUCGGCCACAUUGGAACUGAGACACGGUCCAAACUCCUACGGGAGGCAGCAGUGGGGAAUAUUGGGCAAUGGGGGGAACCCUGACCCAGCGACGCCGCGUGAGGGAAGAAGGUUUUCGGAUUGUAAACCUCUGUCCUUGGUGAAGAGAAGAAGACGGUAGCCAAGGAGGAAGCCCCGGCUAACUACGUG